This 1090-nucleotide long non-coding RNA is filed under the name Vulpes vulpes (red fox). RNAcentral describes it as "lncRNA (ENSVVUG00000000860.1)". Lineage: Eukaryota; Metazoa; Chordata; Mammalia; Carnivora; Canidae. The record is from RNAcentral.
AACAAAGUUCUGGGCAAAUUCCAUUAACGUAUCUCUGAAUAUAUCAGUGUAGUGGCACAAUUAGGGAAACAUUUUGAUCUGAAUGACCACACUUGAUUUUCCAACAAUCUUACAAGAUAGUCAAGGCAAGUAUUUGUGCCAUUUCAUACAUGAAGAAGCUGAGAAUCUCAGCCAUUAGGUCAUCACCAGGCAACAUGGAACAGGACCGCUAGAGGUCUCACAGCAACUCUAGCACUGUCCCUCUGCCCCUGCCAUCUGUCCGUAGUUGUGAAUGAGCAUUUAGAGUCAUUUCCUACGUACAAUAUCACUUUGCCCUGAAGCACAGUAGUAUCAGCUAGACAACAUCACACUUAAGAUCCUUCUAAUCUUAUGAUUUAAUGUGACGGUUUUCCAUUAUGGGAUUCAGUACUUUCAAAAGGCCUGUAUAUCCAGCCCUACACGAGCGUCUUUUCUGGACCUGCCCCGACCUCUGCACUUUUUCCUGUCUCUUCAUCAAAACAUCUAGCCAACAAAUUGUCCAUAGGAAACUACUGAAGGCUAGCUAUGCUCCCCCAAAAUAGGGGUAAUUGGAUGAGAAAGGGUUCCAGGAGCACAAUGAAGAGAAGUCCAUCAGGGCAGGAUUCCAUGGCCACCGAACCAAAGGGUACAAGAGCUGACUUCGUCCAGACCCCGACCUUCCGUGAGAGGAUAGAUAUUUUGGUUCUCAUCUUACACAGGAGCUGACUGUAGUCCGCAGAGGCUAAUCCAUUCAGAGGAGGAGGAGAGAUUAAAGAUUUAAUGGAAGAAGAGAAGCCAUGGGUGACGGGAUAAAUCGUUCCUGGUAAUCAGACAGCUAAAAAGUGUUGCAAGGGGAUCCGGUUUCAGGUCCUCUGCUUCCAAACCUCGAGCUCAUUUUACUACAUGUUAAUAGAUUUCUCUGCUCUUUAGAUCUUCAGUUUUUUUUUUUAAUUUUUAUUUAUUUAAGAGAGAGAGAGAGAGAGAGAGAGGCAGAGACACAGCAGAGGGAGAAGCAGGCUNAAUUUUUAUUUAUUUAAGAUAGAUAGAUAGAGAGAGAGAGAGAGAGAGAGGCAGAGACGUAGGCAGAGGGAGA